AGCAGCCGCGGUAAUUCCAGCUCCAAUAGCGUAUAUUAAAGUUGUUGCAGUUAAAAAGCUCGUAGUUGAAUCUCGGGAUCAUCAGGUUGGUCGUGCCUCUGGUAUGUACUGAUUUCGAUGGUUCCUCCUUCUUGAAGAUCCGUAAUGCCAUUAAUUUGGUGUUGCGGGGAAUCAGGACUGUUACUUUGAAAAAUUAGAGUGUUUAAAGCAGGCUUACGCUUGAAUACAUUAGCAUGGAAUAAUGAAAUAGGACGUUCGAUCCUAUUUUGUUGGUUUCUAGGAUUGACGUAAUGAUUAAUAGGGAUAGUUGGGGGCAUUAGUAUUCAAUUGUCAGAGGUGAAAUUCUUGGAUUUAUUGAAGACUAACUACUGCGAAAGCAUUUGCCAAGGAUGUUUUCAUUAAUCAAGAACGAAAGUUAGGGGAUCGAAGACGAUCAGAUACCGUCGUAGUCUUAACCAUAAACUAUGCCGACUAGGGAUCGGAUGAUGUUAAUUUUUAAUGA
Molecule: ribosomal RNA, 502 nt
Filed under: uncultured Glomus
Lineage: Eukaryota; Fungi; Glomeromycota; Glomeromycetes; Glomerales; Glomeraceae
Description: SSU rRNA
Rfam family: Eukaryotic small subunit ribosomal RNA
Source: RNAcentral